UGGGGAAUAUUGGACAAUGGGCGAAAGCCUGAUCCAGCCAUGCCGCGUGUGUGAAGAAGGCCUUUUGGUUGUAAAGCACUUUAAGUGGGGAGGAAAAGCUUAUGGUUAAUACCCAUAAGCCCUGACGUUACCCACAGAAUAAGCACCGGCUAACUCUGUGCCAGCAGCCGCGGUAAUACAGAGGGUGCAAGCGUUAAUCGGAAUUACUGGGCGUAAAGCGCGCGUAGGUGGUUAUUUAAGUCAGAUGUGAAAGCCCCGGGCUUAACCUGGGAACUGCAUCUGAUACUGGAUAACUAGAGUAGGUGAGAGGGGAGUAGAAUUCCAGGUGUAGCGGUGAAAUGCGUAGAGAUCUGGAGGAAUACCGAUGGCGAAGGCAGCUCCCUGGCAUCAUACUGACACUGAGGUGCGAAAGCGUGGGUAGCAACCAGGAUUAGAUACCCUGGUAGUCCACGCCGUAAACGAUGUCUACCAGUCGUUGGGUCUUUUAAAGACUUAGUGACGCAGUUAACGCAAUAAGUAGACCGCCUGGGGAGUACGGCCGCAAGGUUA
RNAcentral lists this ribosomal RNA (549 nucleotides) under uncultured bacterium. RNAcentral's name for it is "bacterial SSU rRNA". It matches the Rfam family "Bacterial small subunit ribosomal RNA", at positions 355 to 896 of the family's 1533-position model. The record is from RNAcentral.